Long non-coding RNA from Malaclemys terrapin pileata, 2430 nucleotides. RefSeq lists it as uncharacterized. The transcript is spliced from 7 exons. The record is from RefSeq and is a predicted model, not a curated record. Lineage: Eukaryota; Metazoa; Chordata; Testudines; Emydidae.
CAGACUUCCUGCGAAGAUCUGAUUCACGGAAAGCAGGGGAGGGGGAGGGGCAGGAAGACAACUGCGGGGCCGGACGGCAUGGGCAUUGCCAUGGAAGACAUGGUCUUCUUCCUGCCUAGUAUGAAGAUUCAAAGAUACCAGCUACAGUGGUAGCAGAGCAGACUGCCUGCCUUCUGGAGACUGAAGUUUCCAUGUCUCAGCCUCUGUUGGAAAGCGGUCCCAGCUGUGCAGAGAAUGCUUCUUUCCACUGGAGAGUGACUUUAGCAAGAAACACAGGUCAUGUGCUUGGAGAACACAAGUCCAGGCAUGUCUGGUGGGCAUUGCUGAGUCCCCAGGCAAAGGUGAGCAAUCCCCCUCGUGUGGCCUUAUUCAGCACUUGCAACCCCUCCCAGCUUGGUAUCAUCUAGGAACUUUAUUAUCUAAAUCAUUGAUGAAGAUAUUGAACAGAACCGAUCCCUGCAGGGCCCCACUUGUUAUGCCCUUCCAGCCUGACUGAACCACUGUUUCUGGAGAGUAGGUAUCAAUUUUCCAACCUGUUAUGCACCCAUCUUAUGGUAGCUCCAUCUAGGUUCCAUUUCCCUAGUUUGAGAAAUAUUGUUUAUAAUGUACAAGUUACCUAAAACCCAAAGGGUUGAUGUAUUAAAGACAAUUGGAUAAAGAUUACCUUUGUGCAUUAAAUUAUACAAGACCUAAGUGAACAUGGACCCAAACUGGAGAAGACACUGGACUUGAAACUAAAGGACAGGACUAGAGCACCAGAUUAAGGGAUCAGAUGAGGUCACGACUAACAUGGUAACUUGGGUCCAUUUACCAGUUCCAUCUUGUCUGUUAAUGGCUGGAAGACAUUUGUGUCCAGAUGUUAUCAGUGACACUAGUUCUGUCUGAAAUUCUAUAAAAUAAGGUGAAAAUUAAUUCACCCAAAGUUGAGUUCCCAGCUUUUACAGCCAACAGCAUUGAGCCACACCACUCAUGAAAAUGGCUUUUACAAAUAAAGUUACUCAGUAAAAAUCUUACCUAGUUACAUCAAAAGGCAAAGUGCCAGAUCCUCAGCUGAGAAAGGUUUAUGCUUGUUGCAUCUGAGAAGAGCAGGGGUAGGAGCAGAAAAGUGGAGUGUAGGCCACCUGUUUUGUCUUACUCUAUAGACCAGCAUUUGAGUUUUUAGCUCCUUCUUCCAUACUAGUGUCAAUUGGCAGGAUGAAUGGGUGUAAGGGACAAACAUGAGAUCUGGUACUAGUAGUCUUCCACCCCCAUUCCCACUACAUACUGAACCCCUUUCUGCCUGACCCUUACCCAAUCUGUAAAGCUCCCUAUGCCCCCAUUUUCACCAGUAGUAGUGUGUUGCACUGACCAUAUUAGAAUGGCUUUCUGCCCUUCUCUUCACAGGUGACAAUGGAUCCUGCUCCGAGAGCAGUCACCUGACCCACUGAUCACAGCCAGGUGCCAGUCAAUGUGUGGUUGGAGUAACUGUCCUCUCCAGCUUCUCCUGGAAGGACAGGAACGGUCACUUGUACCACAUGAGCUGGACGAGCAGAUUUCAGCCAAGGACCAGAAUGAAUCACACACUGAUUUUCAAAUCAUCCAGCGUUGUGAAUCGUAUGGGGAACUCCAUUUAAGCUCGAUGCCCUCACAGAGGCAACGGACCGAAUAUAUCUGGACAGUGCGGAACAGACAUUUCUGCGGGGAAGACCGGGAGCGCGUCGGGAUCACCGUGCACGUAGCGAUCGAGGCUGUCGGAAGCCAGAGCGUGGCCGGUGUUUGCUAACAGGCCGCCGGGGUCAGAAUUGCCGGACCAGGGCCGUGGCGAUACGCAGACAUUCAGGGCGUGACCUGCAAGUAGUUUGGCUGUUUGUGAGCGGCCCUGCUCGAGAGCCACAUCAGCAAGGCAUUGUGAGGCGCCCCAUGUUGCAGGGGAGGUAGUGUAUUCGUAGGAUGAUUUUACAAAUUAUAAAACUCUUCACAUGUCACUAAAAUCCAGCCCAUCAGUUGGUUCCAGUUCUUCCACUUGGUACUCCUGGGGGAAUUCCGCACCACUGCGUAUGUGCAGAAUUUACAUCCCACGCAAAUUUCUUUGCUUCCCCACAGAAAAAUGACUUUUUGAUAAGGAAGCCAUGAGAGCGGUCACGCAACCUUCCCCAGCAGUACAUUUUGGUGUCCAGGACAGCCGGCAGAGAGAAAAGGAGCGUGCAGGCGUAAACAAGCCCCGGGGGAUUAUCCCGCCUCCGAGUAAAGACCGUGAACAUCGGGGGUAUAUAUAAAAGGCACAGAAGACACUCCUUCCUCCUGCACCUGGCGAGCGAAGGGACAGUGUGGGUCGCAGGCAGCCUAGGUUGAAAAUGCCGCUGCAGACUUUGACUUUGGGUGAGAGAAACGUCUUCAGCCAGGAGGUUAACCUGAUGGUUUGUAUCUAAAAAGCGUGCUAUGAUUUUGGUG